RNAcentral lists this long non-coding RNA (707 nucleotides) under Pan troglodytes (chimpanzee). RNAcentral's name for it is "long non-coding RNA NONPTRT012734". The record is from RNAcentral. Lineage: Eukaryota; Metazoa; Chordata; Mammalia; Primates; Hominidae.
UUUGAACAACUGAGGUUAAGCAAAAGCACGGAAUCAUGAAAAUUAUUCUUUGAAAUGGCAAAGAUUUCUGUGGCUGGAUCAUGGGAUUUAUUGAGUGGAGCGAUUUCUCCUCAGAAGACCAGACACAUGUGAGCUAUGCGAAUCCAUGGAAGUGUCGUUAUCUUUCUAUUUUUUCCUCGCUUAUAUGAAGGACUAUAGGUCAGGAACUGUGCAAGAGGAGGAAUGUGCAUAUGUUGGGGUGGGGAUAGAUAGGGGACGUCUGGAAUGGAUAAUUCAUUUCAAACUCAAAAAAGCAGACUGAGAGAAGACAUAGGGAGAACUGACAGAGAAACCAUAAAGCUGGAAAAAGAUUAGAGAAAACCACAAGAAGACCUGUUUAACCCUAAUUUCUGUGUUUUUUCUGAUGAAGAUGUAGUAUUAAUUGUUUCAGAGUUCAUCAGAGAUCCACGUAUCUUAAAUCUGAGAUAUAAGCCAGUUGAAAACAAACAUUCCACUUGAGUGGCCUUUUAAUGACACAAAGGCUAAAGGGAAAAAAAAAAAGAUUUGCAUAGCAAUAACUAUCAUUGCUUUAAAGCUGCAUAGACUUUUCAGAGCCCUGAACAACCACCAAAUCAGGAAUUCAAACCGCACCCUGGGAAGGCUGGGCUUCUUUUUGUUAAAAAGAAAAACCAAAGAUCUCUGAGAAAGCUUCUUAUGUCUCUUCCCUG